CAGUGCAAUGAUGAAAGGGCAU
This 22-nucleotide non-coding RNA is filed under the name Xenopus laevis (African clawed frog). Its record names the gene xla-miR-130b-3p. RNAcentral also lists the same sequence under 21 other names. Lineage: Eukaryota; Metazoa; Chordata; Amphibia; Anura; Pipidae. The record is from miRBase by way of RNAcentral.